GAUGACUGCACCUCCUGCUGACAUGCUGAUAGCAGCCGUGUGAAAGCCCAGAGCCAGAGGUCCCAGCUAAGCCACAUCCGGAUUCCUGACCCACAGAAACUGUGAGAUAGUAAAUCGCAAAGCUUCCCAGCAGGAGAACCAAGACACACUGGUAUGCGGAAUAUGGAUUACCGACGAGCCCAGGAGAUUGGUCCUUCAACCCCUGGGGCUGCCAGGAGCAGGAGCUGUACGUGGUCCGUCACUAGAGCAUCUCCAGCCAGUCCAGUCAUCUCCCAGCAUUAUUCUGUCCAAUCAGCUGGAAGAGGAUCUCAAUCUAAUGCUGUAUGGUCCAGCUGACUAUCAGAGCAUCCAGCAUUGCAUCAGCAACAAGGGUUAGGUGGGGUGGAUAAGGGAGGGGAUGGGAGCUGAGGGGGCAAUGUAGCUGACUGCCUUGAACAAGUCUCUCUUUCUGUAGACCUGCUUUUACUCUUUCUCCAGGAUGCAGUAAAAAAUAGCUAAUUAAAUUAUUUUUCUUGGGGACAAGGAUUGUGUCUUCAUUGAUAUCAUUCAUUGCCUGAACGUGUUAAAAAUUGUUACUUUCU
RNAcentral lists this long non-coding RNA (581 nucleotides) under Equus asinus (donkey). Its description in RNAcentral is "lncRNA (ENSEASG00005032110.1)". The record is from RNAcentral. Lineage: Eukaryota; Metazoa; Chordata; Mammalia; Perissodactyla; Equidae.